UGAAUGACUUCAACCUGUUUCUAGAGUGGGGUAAGGCAAGACCACCUUUGACCACUUAUCAAAGGUCACCCACUGGGUAGAGGUAAGACCAGAUUCCCGGUAUCUUAACUCCAAGCCAAUGCACAACCCAGCCUCACGCUACAUUCCUAAAGGGUCAGCGUGAUGGCUCUGCUUAGAAGUCCCUGAAGUUCCGCCUCGUCUCUCCCCACUCAUCACCAGGUUCCUCUCUCCAGUCCACAUCAUGCAACACCAGUAACAUCUGUCAUUCAUUCAUUCGGCAAACAUUAAUGUCAUCUUCUAUGGGCCUGGUUGACCCACUGCUGCUCUCAAAGACUCAGUCGAGUUAGCCAUCCACUUUUAUUCUGGACAAUACCUAAUACAAACAAAAACAGAACAGGGGCACCUGGGUGGCUCAAUAGGUUAAGCGUCCAACUCUUGAUUUCGGCUCAGGUCACGAUCUCAUGGUCGAGGGAUGGAGUGCCACAUUGGGCUCCUCACUGAGUGUGGAGCCUGCUUGGGGUUUUCUCUCUCCCUCCCUCUUUGCUUCUUCUCUACUCACAUGCACACCCUCCCUCAAAAUAAAUAAAUAAACAUUAGAAAAAGAAAUAGGACAGUACAGUGAAGCCCCACUAGCCUAUCAUUAGCUUCAACAAUUAUCAACUCAUAGCUGAUAUCGCUCUACACGGCAAGCAUCCCAAUAUUUUGAAACCAAUUUCAGACAUCGUAUUGUUUCACUGGUAUUGCAAGAAAUCAUUUUAAUGGCAUUAUCACAGUGAUAUGGAUGGAAUUGUGCCUUCCCCCCAAUUCGUAUGUUGAAGCCCUAACCCCUAAUGUGACUGUAUCUGGAGACAGAGCCUGUAAGGAGGUAAUUAAGGCUAAAUGAGGUCAUAAGGGUGGGGCCCAAAUCCCACAGAAAUAUAAGAGGAAGAGACACCAGAGAUUUCUCUCUACCCAUUAUGCAUUUGCAGAAAGAAAGGCGGAGGAGGCAGAGAGAAGUUGGCUGUCUACAGUUCAGGAAGAAAGCUCUCGCCAGAAGACGAAUCUGCCAGCACCUGGAUCAUCACGGACUUCUAGCCUCAGAACCAUGAGAAAUGAAUGGGAAGUCAGCUUCCUUGUCUUGAGAGACUCAGCCCUGUGGAGAAGCCCAUUCAACAAAGACCUGAGGCCUCAGUCGAACCACUGGGAACUGAGUCCUGUCACCAACCAUAGGAUGAAGGACAAGGUCCCGCCAGCAGGAGGGGAAAGCGAGAGCAAAGCCCGAGGCAAGCAACAGCCGGCUUCACAAGAACAAGCAGUUCUGGGUUGCACGCAUCCAUCCGACAUAAUCCUAUCAAGCUGAAGUCACCCUAAUCAAGUAUGACCGGUGUUCUAUAAGGAGAGGGAACUUUGGACACGACACAGAGGGGAAGGCCGUGUGACAAUAGAGGCAGAGACUGGGUGAUGUCGCAGCAGCUGAGGUUGAUGACACCACCAGGGGCUGGAAGACGGGAAGGAGGGUUUCUCCUCUACUGGUUUCAGAGGGAGCAGACCCUGCUGACACCUUGAUUUUGGCCUCUGAACAGUGAGACAAUAAACUUGUUGUUUUAAAUCA
Molecule: long non-coding RNA, 1591 nt
Organism: Acinonyx jubatus (cheetah)
Lineage: Eukaryota; Metazoa; Chordata; Mammalia; Carnivora; Felidae
Exons: 4
Source: RefSeq, a predicted model, not a curated record